Molecule: unclassified non-coding RNA, 353 nt
Filed under: soil metagenome
Description: partial contains 5.8S ribosomal RNA, internal transcribed spacer 2, and large subunit ribosomal RNA
Rfam family: 5.8S ribosomal RNA (bases 1-120)
Source: RNAcentral
GAUGAAGAACGCAGCGAAAUGCGAUAAGUAAUGUGAAUUGCAGAAUUCCGUGAAUCAUCGAAUCUUUGAACGCACAUUGCGCCCCCUGGCAUUCCGGGGGGCAUGCCUGUCCGAGCGUCAUUUCUGCCCUCCAGCCCGGCUGGGUGUUGGGCGCUGUCCCCCGGGGACACGCCCCAAAGGCAGUGGCGGCGCCGCGUCGGGUCCUCGAGCGUAUGGGGCUUUGUCACCCGCUCGGGACGGACUCGUCGGCGCUGGUCUUCCUCCAGGCGACCCUUCGGGGCUCGUCUUCCUUCGGUUGACCUCGGAUCAGGUAGGGUUACCCGCUGAACUUAAGCAUAUCAAUAAGCGGAGGA